Molecule: unclassified non-coding RNA, 139 nt
Filed under: soil metagenome
Description: partial internal transcribed spacer 1
Source: RNAcentral
CCUAGAGUUGUAGGACUUGGUCUGCUAUCUCUUACCCAUGUCUUUUGAGUACUUACGUUUCCUCGGCGGGUCCGCCCGCCGGUUGGACAAUUUAAACCAUUUGCAGUUGCAAUCAGCGUCUGAAAAACUUUAAUAGUUA